This 881-nucleotide ribosomal RNA is filed under the name uncultured bacterium. RNAcentral describes it as "bacterial SSU rRNA". It matches the Rfam family "Bacterial small subunit ribosomal RNA", at positions 52 to 915 of the family's 1533-position model. The record is from RNAcentral.
UACAUGCAAGUCGCGCGAUUAAAGCUCCUUCGGGAGUGUAUAAAGCGGCGAACGGGUGAGUAACAGGUGGAUAAUCUGCCUCUCGGUGGGGGACAACGGCUGGAAACGGCCGCUAAUACCGCAUACGUUAGCAGGGACUUAUGUCCCCGCUAGGAAAGGAGCGUUUGCUCCGCCGAGAGAUGAGUCCGCCCCCCAUUAGCUAGUUGGUGAGAUAAUAGCUCACCAAGGCAACGAUGGGUAGCCGAGCUGAGAGGUUGAUCGGCCACACUGGAACUGAGAUACGGUCCAGACACCUACGGGUGGCAGCAGUAGGGAAUAUUGCGCAAUGGGCGAAAGCUUGACGCAGCCAUGCCGCGUGGAUGAUGAAGGCCUUCGGGUCGUAAAGUCCUUUUCUGAGGGAAGAACAUCCUGGAGAGGAAAUGCUCCAGGCUUGACGGUACCUCAGGAAUAAGCAACGGCUAACUCCGUGCCAGCAGCCGCGGUAAUACGGAGGUUGCGAGCGUUGUUCGGAAUUACUGGGCGUAAAGGGGGCGCAGGCGGCUUAGUCAGUCUGAAGUGAAAUCCCCAGGGCUCAACCCUGGACGUGCUUUGGAAACUGCUAAGCUUGAGUGCGUGAGAGGAGAGCGGAAUUCCAGGUGUAGCGGUGAAAUGCGUAGAUAUCUGGAGGAACCACCGGUGGCGAAAGCGGCUCUCUGGCACGACACUGACGCUGAGGCCCGAAAGCGUGGGGAGCGAACGGGAUUAGAUACCCCGGUAGUCCACGCCGUAAACGUUGUGCACUAGGUGUGGGAGGUAAUCGACCCCUUCCGUGCCGUAGCUAACGCAUUAAGUGCGCCGCCUGGGGAGUACGGUCGCAAGACUGAAACUCAAAGGAAUUGACG